Molecule: long non-coding RNA, 1533 nt
Filed under: Marmota monax (woodchuck)
Lineage: Eukaryota; Metazoa; Chordata; Mammalia; Rodentia; Sciuridae
Source: RNAcentral
UUUAGAAACAAACUUUAUUGUUAUAUCCUCUAUCAAGCAGAUGUCAGUAUUUUAACGGAAGUUGUAACAUAAUUGAGUUGUGCAUAUCUUACUCUUUGUGUAUUCUCAAGUUUUCAGAGAUAAAGCAGGGUUAGUCCUGAUUCAUCUUAUAUGGGAGAUAUACAAAAAAAUUAACAGCUGACAUUUACUUGGAGUAUAUUUGAGGUUAAAAAAACUAGACAAAAGAAAUAGAGCAAAUUAGGAGUAAAAUAAAAUAUGAUUAGUAGAGGAAAAAUAAAUAAAACCAAUUUCAUUUAGGUGGAACCACCAUAACAUGACAGUGUCAACAUUUGAUAGGUGCUAAAGAAGAGAAAACCAAAAAUGUUUCUCUGCCACUUUAAGGAAGAGGAAAAAAAGUAAAAAUAUUGUACAGUCAGCAGAGUAAAACUAUCAAAAGAAAGAGCCACCUGUCACAUGACUGGUAGUAAGUAUGGCUCAUUGCAAUCCAGAGAGCAGGAUGCACUGAGGAUAAACCAGUGACAGAUACCUGCUAUGCUUGUGUGGUAUGGGGAGGGACUGUGCAAGGAAGGAGAGUAAGGCUUGGCCCAAAGGGCCCAAUGUUCAUCAUCUCCUGACCUGUCUAUUUUCCCUGCUCCCAAGCUGUAGAUGUAGUUAGGGGACACCUCAAUGGCAUUAGUUAGAUCCAGUAUCAAUUCAUGUCCUCCCCAACUUCCAUUUCUGCUGCCUGGCUCUAAGUGUGCUCUUGGUCCUUGAAUCCUGAGCACAUCAACUCAGUGGUAUACGAAGGACCUUGAUUCCUCCCUGCACUGCCUGGUCUCAGAGGACCGUGCACUCUUGGAGCUUAUUCUCAAUGCUGUCUGUGCUGAGCCUUCCUCUUCCUUACUGACCUUCCAGCUUUCACUUCUGUCCCAGAUUCAGACAUUUAUCUCCAGAUUGAGUCUUCCCCCCCAGGGAGCUGGGCUAAAGUCUCUUGCUUCCUCUAGGAACUCACUUUUAUUGUUUUAAAAGAUCAUUCUUCAGCCACUCAACAUAAUAUGAUAUUGUAAUUGCUGAGCCUAUUUCUUGAACACUUAAUCCUGUUGCUGCAAACACUUCUUUAUUUUCCUUCAAUCAUAGCGUCAGUCCCUGUGUCCAAAGCAUGGAUAGCACUCUCUCUUUUCUAUUCCCAUCUUAGCUUCUUUCUUGGCUCAUUUUUUUUUUCUAUUCUUUACUGGACCCUUUCUAUUUUCUAGAGCAAUAUUAACCAACCAGAAAUCAUUGUUUUUCUUGGCAGCCCUUUUCUCUGUCCUUUAAUCCCAACUCAAGCCUCAUUAUUUCUUUCCUGCCCUUUCAGUUUUCUUAAGCAAGACGUCCACAAACCACACAUUAAAUGGCUCAUUGGUUCAUAAAAGCUCAAUUACUGACCUCUGUUGUUUGGAUUUGGAAGGCAUUGUGGGGAUUCUGUUUGGGCACACAGAUUUUCAGUCAUGUGACUUUAAUUGUGGCAUUUGUCCUGUGACAUUUGGAGAAUGAGUUAUGACAGGGAAACCCAGG